RNAcentral lists this unclassified non-coding RNA (349 nucleotides) under Hevea brasiliensis (rubber tree). The record is from RNAcentral. Lineage: Eukaryota; Viridiplantae; Streptophyta; Magnoliopsida; Malpighiales; Euphorbiaceae.
GCGAUACCGAACAUCAUUUCUCUCGAGUCGGUCGAUGGCCUCAUUCACUUGAUCCAUCUUCACCAUCUCGAUCAUGGAGGUUAAACCCUUCUCCGCGCAGAACUCUAACAUCUCUUGUGUUUCCUCCAUGCUCCCUAUGAAGCUCCCAGCUAUUGUUUUCCUUCCAAGCAUCACCGCCGGAGUGACAAACUGAAGCGGCUGGUUAAUAACCCCCAGCAGUAUCAACUUCCCGUCCAUCUUCAACAGCGACAGGUACGGCUCCAGCGGGUGGAACACCGGCACCGUAUCAAUAAUAUAAUCAAGACUAUCCGCCGCCGCCGCCAUCUGCCCCUCAUCGGAGCUGAUCAGA